This is a long non-coding RNA of Cyprinodon variegatus (sheepshead minnow), 442 nucleotides long. RefSeq lists it as uncharacterized. The record is from RefSeq and is a predicted model, not a curated record. The transcript has 3 exons. Lineage: Eukaryota; Metazoa; Chordata; Actinopteri; Cyprinodontiformes; Cyprinodontidae.
GGAGAUGCAACGUACAUUGAAAAAAUUGAAAACUUUUAUCCCCGUUUUAAAUUUUUAAAGAAUCAGUCGUCCGACUCGUAUGACCUGCUGAUCAUAAACGUCACUGAUUCUGAUGAAGGACUUUAUUACUGUGGAACAACUGAACGAAAGGUGGAGAAAGAAAAAAAUGGAAAUAUUUUCUCUAAAGACGUCUACGUCUAUGGAAACAUCAGCACAAGGAUCAAACUCUAUGCAGGGUCUGGUUUCCUGCAUCAGAACAUUUCCAGGCCAGUGGAGGAGUGCGGUUUGUGCUGGAAGCUGCUGUUCUCUGUCUGUCCUGCUGUUUCUCUGCUCUCAGCUCUCUUCUCCUCACUGCUGGUCUACCUGCUUUGCCUGAAGAAAGCAAACAAUGAAGCUGAAAAUAAGAGAUGUGACAUUUCAAGACAAACAGAAGGAGCUCAGG